AGAGUUUGAUCCUGGCUCAGAACGAACGUUGGCGGCGUGGAUUAGGCAUGCAAGUCGAGCGGGAUUAGCUUUAUUCAAUUCUUCGGAAGAGAAAAUUGCUAUGAGAGCGGCGAACGGGUGAGUAAUAUAUGGGUAAUUUGCCUCUUUGUUCGGGAUAGCCAUCGGAAACGAUGAUUAAUACCGGAUGUGAUCGGUCACUGCAUAGUGACCUCUUUAAAGGUGGGGAAUCUUCGGAUCCUAUCGCAAAGAGAUAAGCCCAUACCCUAUCAGCUAGUUGGUGAGGUAAUGGCUCACCAAGGCUUACGGGUAGCUGGUCUGAGAGGAUGGUCAGCCACACUGGGACUGAGACACUGCCCAGACUCCUACGGGAGGCUGCAGUCGAGAAUCAUUGACAAUGUACGAAAGUAUGAUCAUGCGACGCCGCGUGGAGGAAGACGGCCUUCGGGUUGUAAACUCCUGUCAGCAGGGAGGAAAGGCAGCACUACUAAUAUCAGUGUUGUUUGACAGUACCUGCAGAGGAAGUCACGGCUAACUCUGUGCCAGCAGCCGCGGUAAUACAGAGGUGGCGAACGUUGUUCGGAUUUACUGGGCGUAAAGGGUCCGCAGGCGGUCCGGUGUGUCGGAUGUGAAAGCCCACGGCUUAACCGUGGAAUUGCAUUCGAAACUACCGGACUAGAGUACUGGAGGGGAGAAGGGAACACUU
RNAcentral lists this ribosomal RNA (703 nucleotides) under uncultured bacterium. RNAcentral describes it as "bacterial SSU rRNA". It matches the Rfam family "Bacterial small subunit ribosomal RNA", at positions 8 to 671 of the family's 1533-position model. The record is from RNAcentral.